This 96-nucleotide ribosomal RNA is filed under the name uncultured bacterium. RNAcentral describes it as "partial 16S ribosomal RNA". The record is from RNAcentral.
CACGUGGGAAGAAGUGUAUCUGGCUAAUAUCCAUGGAAUUUGACGGUACCACCAAAGGAAGCACCGGCUAACUCCGUGCCAGCAGCCGCGGUAAUA